This 531-nucleotide ribosomal RNA is filed under the name uncultured bacterium. RNAcentral's name for it is "bacterial SSU rRNA". It matches the Rfam family "Bacterial small subunit ribosomal RNA", at positions 777 to 1309 of the family's 1533-position model. The record is from RNAcentral.
AAUAGAUACCCUGGUAGUCCACGCUGUAAACGAUGGGCACUAGGUGUGGGGGGUGUCGACUCCCUCCGUGCCGAAGCUAACGCAUUAAGUGCCCCGCCUGGGGAGUACGGCCGCAAGGCUAAAACUCAAAGGAAUUGACGGGGGCCCGCACAAGCAGCGGAGCAUGUGGUUUAAUUCGACGCAACGCGAAGAACCUUACCUGGGCUUGACAUGUUCCUGACCUCCCUGGAAACAGGGCUUCCCUUCGGGGCAGGAUCAUAGGUGGUGCAUGGCUGUCGUCAGCUCGUGUCGUGAAAUGUUGGGUUAAGUCCCGCAACGAGCGCAACCCCCGUCGCAUGUUGCCAGCAUUUAGUUGGGGACUCAUGCGAGACUGCCGGUGACAAACCGGAGGAAGGUGGGGAUGACGUCAAGUCAUCAUGCCCCUUAUGUCCAGGGCUACACACGUGCUACAUUGGCGCGUACAGAGGGCUGCAAUGCCGUGAGGCGGAGCGAAUCCCUUAAAGCGCGUCUCGGUUCGGAUUGCAGGCUACG